Molecule: ribosomal RNA, 1344 nt
Filed under: Triticum aestivum (bread wheat)
Lineage: Eukaryota; Viridiplantae; Streptophyta; Magnoliopsida; Poales; Poaceae
Description: partial small subunit ribosomal RNA
Source: RNAcentral
AUGUCGAAGGACGGCGGGCCAACGGUCGCCGUGAAGCUGUUCAUCGACAAGGAGAAGAGAAAGGUACUGUUUGCAGAAUCUGACAAGGACUUCGUCGACAUCCUCUUCAGCUUCCUCACCCUGCCUCUCGGCACCAUUGUCCGUCUCUUCGACAAGCAGUCGCAGGUAGGAUGCCUCGACGAGCUGUACAAGAGCGUGGAGAGUCUCGGUGAAGAUCACUUCCGAACCAAGGCGUGCAAGGGGAUGCUUCUUAACCCCCUCAAUGCUUCAGCAACUCAUUGCAAUCGGCUUAAAGUGAAAGUUGCCAACACAAAUCCUAUGUAUCGCUGCAAAAAUGCUAGUUGCGGUGUUUCAGCAUUUAGCUCCGUCCCUGAUGCUAUUUGCAGUUGUGGAUAUGUUGUUAAGUACAUUAGGGAACGGACAAACACAAAUUUUCAUUCUAUAUUUUCAGACAUCAUUAAGAUUGGAGUUUUUGUCAUUGGUGUGCCCAAGUUCAUAAUAACUGAUGACCUUGAAGUUGCUCCUGCUUCCACAAGGGUCAUGUUUUCCCUGAUUGAGAAAUAUGGGAUACCCGAAAAAGAGAAUGUCCAGGAGAAGGUGCUCCAACUCAAUUCCGCCAAAAUGACUAGUUUGCUUAGGAGAGCGCUGCUGACGAAGCAAGUCCUAACUGGACUUUAUUUUGAUGCUGCUAUCCCGCCGAAUGCUACAGACAUGUGUCUGCUCCCUGAAAAUAUGUUGGCAAAACAGGCACUUGAGGCCGAUCCCAAUUUCAAAGCCAUCAACGUAAGGCUUGUACAUGCAAAGGAUGAUACAGUGUUAUAUGCUGAAGUUGGGCAAGAUUUUGUCGAUCUCAUCUUUGGACUACUUAGUGUUCCACUUGGAUCCGUACUGAAGACUUUCAGCGAGUUACCCCAAAUCGGUUGUGUUGAUAGUAUCUACAAGAGUGUAACUGCAAGUGUGAAACAGGAAUGUCAAAGCUUACUUCUAUCCCCAAUGCUAGGGCCUUUCUUUGGUUGCAGCAGUAAUGUGAUGCAAGUAGAAGAAUUAGCUUGUCGACCACUUAUGAUUGGAUCCACUAGCUGUUUUGAGUUGAAUCCCAAAUCCGGUUCUGAUAGAGCCUAUAUCAAGGGUGGGCCCAUGAACUUCAUGGUGACAGAUGAUCUCCGCAUCGGUCCAUUCUGCCUGAUCAAUGCCCUCGAGAUCGUGUGUGCAUCCAAGGUUCCAAAGGACAAGCUUGUGGAGAAAGAACUCACGCUCAACAAAACCCAGGUUCUGAAGCUUGUGGGAGCUGCAUUUGGGACGAGCAAAGCACUCAGCAGCUUGCUCAUGCCUUCCAAGAAGUAG